This 479-nucleotide ribosomal RNA is filed under the name Scoloplos cf. armiger CB-2006. RNAcentral's name for it is "partial large subunit ribosomal RNA". The stretch from base 9 to 382 matches the Rfam family "Bacterial large subunit ribosomal RNA", at positions 2070 to 2650 of the family's 2925-position model. The record is from RNAcentral. Lineage: Eukaryota; Metazoa; Annelida; Polychaeta; Orbiniidae.
CCCGAAUAAUUUUAUAAGACAAGAAGACCCUGUCAAGCUUUACUUUAAACCAUUUGCAACCAGAAAUUUUUAACCAUCUGCUUUCCAUUUAGUAAUAGUUUAGUUGGGGCGACUAAGGACCAAACCUAACGUCCUUCCAAUAAUAAAGGAUUAUAAUCCUACAAACCUGAUCCCAUACAGGAUAAAGAGACAAGCUACUGCAGGGAUAACAGGCUAAUUUUUCCUGAGAGUCCAAAUCGAAGGAAAAGUUUGGCACCUCGAUGUUGGCUUAAGAUAACCAUAAAGUGCAGCAGCUUUACAUGGUAGGUUUGUUCACCCUUUAAAAUCUUACAUGAGCUGAGUUCAGACCGGCGUAAGCCAGGUCAGAUUCUAUCUAUAAAAUCAUCAACCUCCCCAUUCAAUUGUACGAAAGGAUCCUGAAUGGCUAUUUCAUAGAAAACAACCAAAAAAUAACUAUAAUUAUAUAUUACACUAACCUU